RNAcentral lists this ribosomal RNA (119 nucleotides) under Kordiimonas gwangyangensis. The record is from RNAcentral. Lineage: Bacteria; Pseudomonadati; Pseudomonadota; Alphaproteobacteria; Kordiimonadales; Kordiimonadaceae.
GAUCUGGUGGUUAUAACAAGGUUGUCCCACCCGGUCCCAUCUCGAACCCGGAAGUGAAAAGCCUUUGUGCCGAUGGUACUUCGUCUUAAGGCGCGGAAGAGUAGGUCGCCGCCAGAUCU